CCUACGGGAGGCAGCAGUAGGGAAUAUUGCUCAAUGGGGGAAACCCUGAAGCAGCAACGCCGCGUGGAGGAUGACGGUUUUAGGAUUGUAAACUCCUUUUUUGAGAGAAGUUAAUGGCGGUACCUCUCGAAUAUUCACCGGCUAACUCCGUGACAGCAGCCGCGGUAAUACGGAGGGUGCAGGCGUUACUCGGAAUCACUGGGCGUAAGGGGUGAGCAGGUGGGGUUGUAAGUCAGAUGUGAAAUCCUUUAGCUUAACUAGAGAACUGCAUUUGAAACUAUUAGUCUAGAGUGGGGGUGAGGUAGGUGGAAUUCUUGGUGUAGCGGUAAAAUGCGUAGAUAUCAAGAGGAAUACUCAUUGCGAAGGCGGCCUACUGAAACGUUACUGACGCUGAUGCACGAAAGCGUGGGGAGCAAACAGGAUUAGAUACCCCAGUAGUC
This 440-nucleotide ribosomal RNA is filed under the name uncultured bacterium. Its description in RNAcentral is "partial 16S ribosomal RNA". It matches the Rfam family "Bacterial small subunit ribosomal RNA", at positions 338 to 795 of the family's 1533-position model. The record is from RNAcentral.